This 253-nucleotide ribosomal RNA is filed under the name uncultured bacterium. RNAcentral's name for it is "partial 16S ribosomal RNA". It matches the Rfam family "Bacterial small subunit ribosomal RNA", at positions 524 to 776 of the family's 1533-position model. The record is from RNAcentral.
UACAGAGGUGGCAAGCGUUGUUCGGAAUUACUGGGCGUAAAGGGCGCGUAGGCGGCCUUCUAAGUCAGACGUGAAAUCCCCCGGCUUAACCUGGGAACUGCGCUUGAGACGUGUGGGCUUGAGUGGGGAAGAGGGUCGUGGAAUUCCCAGUGUAGAGGUGAAAUUCGUAGAUAUUCGGAAGAACACCAGUGGCGAAGGCGACUCACUGGACAUGUAUUGACGCUGAGGUACGAAAGCGUGGGGAGCAAACAGG